RNAcentral lists this ribosomal RNA (472 nucleotides) under uncultured bacterium. RNAcentral's name for it is "partial 16S ribosomal RNA". It matches the Rfam family "Bacterial small subunit ribosomal RNA", at positions 28 to 507 of the family's 1533-position model. The record is from RNAcentral.
GAUGAACGCUAGCGGCAGGCCUAAUACAUGCAAGUCGAACGGGUGGUCGCAAGACCACUCGUGGCGCACGGGUGCGUACGCGUAACCAACCUGCCCCGAUCUGGGGGAUAGCCCGCCGAAAGGCGGAUUAAUACCGCAUAUACCCGCAGCCUGGCAUCAGGCAACGGGGAAAGAUUUAUUGGAUCGGGAUGGGGUUGCGUGACAUUAGCUAGUUGGCGGGGUAAGGGCCCACCAAGGCGACGAUGUCUAGGGGACCUGAGAGGGUGAUCCCCCACACUGGCACUGAGAUACGGGCCAGACUCCUACGGGAGGCAGCAGUAGGGAAUAUUGGGCAAUGGGCGAGAGCCUGACCCAGCCAUGCCGCGUGCCGGAUGAAGGCCUUCUGGGUUGUAAACGGCUUUUCUCAGGGAAGAAAAAGACCUGGCGAGGUACACUGACGGUACCUGAGGAAUAAGCACCGGCUAACUCCGUG